Molecule: ribosomal RNA, 400 nt
Filed under: uncultured bacterium
Lineage: Bacteria
Description: bacterial SSU rRNA
Rfam family: Bacterial small subunit ribosomal RNA
Source: RNAcentral
UGGGGAAUAUUGGACAAUGGGGGCAACCCUGAUCCAGCAAUGCCGCGUGAGUGAUGAAGGCCUUCGGGUUGUAAAGCUCUUUUACCAGGGACGAUAAUGACGGUACCUGGGGAAUAAGCUCCGGCUAACUUCGUGCCAGCAGCCGCGGUAAUACGAAGGGAGCUAGCGUUGUUCGGAAUUACUGGGCGUAAAGGGCGCGUAGGCGGUUUUGUACGUCUGAUGUGAAAGACCUGGGCUUAACCUGGGAAGUGCAUUGGAUACGGCAAGACUGGAGUGCGAGAGGGGAUUGUGGAAUUGUGCGUGUAGAGGUGAAAUUCGUAGAGAUGCACAAGAACAUCGGAGGCGAAGGCGACAAUCUGGCUCGUAACUGACGCUAAGGCGCGAAAGCGUGGGGAGCAAA